CGCGAACCGUCACAGUCUGCAG
RNAcentral lists this microRNA (22 nucleotides) under anatid alphaherpesvirus 1. RNAcentral describes it as "dev-miR-D23-3p". Its record names the gene dev-miR-D23-3p. The record is from miRBase by way of RNAcentral. Lineage: Duplodnaviria; Heunggongvirae; Peploviricota; Herviviricetes; Herpesvirales; Orthoherpesviridae.